RNAcentral lists this ribosomal RNA (403 nucleotides) under bacterium. Its description in RNAcentral is "partial 16S ribosomal RNA". It matches the Rfam family "Bacterial small subunit ribosomal RNA", at positions 355 to 776 of the family's 1533-position model. The record is from RNAcentral.
UGGGGAAUAUUGCACAAUGGAGGGAACUCUGAUGCAGCGACGCCGCGUGAACGAAGAAGGCUUUCGAGUCGUAAAGUUCUUUUAUAUGGGAAGAUAAUGACGGUACCAUAAGAAAAAGCCCCGGCUAACUACGUGCCAGCAGCCGCGGUAAUACGUAGGGGGCUAGCGUUGUCCGGAAUCACUGGGCGUAAAGGGUUCGCAGGCGGAAAUGCAAGUCAGGUGUAAAAGGCAGUAGCUUAACUACUGUAAGCAUUUGAAACUGCAUAUCUUGAGAAGAGUAGAGGUAAGUGGAAUUUUUAGUGUAGCGGUGAAAUGCGUAGUUAUUAAAAAGAAUACCGGUGGCGAAGGCGGCUUACUGGGCUCAUUCUGACGCUGAGGAACGAAAGCGUGGGUAGCAAACAGG